Molecule: non-coding RNA, 381 nt
Filed under: Terrimonas ferruginea
Lineage: Bacteria; Pseudomonadati; Bacteroidota; Chitinophagia; Chitinophagales; Chitinophagaceae
Description: bacterial SSU rRNA
Rfam family: Bacterial small subunit ribosomal RNA
Source: RNAcentral
ACAAUGGAGAGUUUGAUCCUGGCUCAGGAUGAACGCUAGCGGCAGGCUUAAUACAUGCAAGUCGUGGGGCAGCGCAGUGUAGCAAUACAUGGGCGGCGACCGGCAAACGGGUGCGGAACACGUACACAACCUUCCUUUUAGUGGAGCAUAGCCUAAGGAAACUUGGAUUAAUACUCCGUAACAUAAUGAAGUGGCAUCACUUUAUUAUUAUAGCAGCAAUGCGCUAGAAGACGGGUGUGCGGCUGAUUAGGUAGUUGGCGGGGUAACGGCCCACCAAGCCUACGAUCAGUAACUGGUGUGAGAGCACGACCAGUCACACGGGCACUGAGACACGGGCCCGACUCCUACGGGAGGCAGCAGUAAGGAAUAUUGGUCAAUGGA